RNAcentral lists this transfer RNA (58 nucleotides) under Zygnema circumcarinatum. RNAcentral's name for it is "tRNA-Met". It matches the Rfam family "tRNA", at positions 8 to 63 of the family's 71-position model. Rfam says of the family: Transfer RNA (tRNA) molecules are approximately 80 nucleotides in length. The record is from RNAcentral. Lineage: Eukaryota; Viridiplantae; Streptophyta; Zygnematophyceae; Zygnematales; Zygnemataceae.
UAGAGUAAUUGGUAACUCGUCAGGCUCAUAAUCUGAAAUGUGUAGGUUCGAAUCCUAC